CAGGCGGGGCCACCCGCUGAGUUUUAAUGCAUAUCAAUUAAGCGGGAGUGAAGUGC
This 56-nucleotide ribosomal RNA is filed under the name Asparagus gonoclados. RNAcentral's name for it is "partial large subunit ribosomal RNA". Lineage: Eukaryota; Viridiplantae; Streptophyta; Magnoliopsida; Asparagales; Asparagaceae. The record is from RNAcentral.